UGUGAACCUUACCGUCGUUGCCUCGGCGGGCUGUGCUUACCCGGUAGCUACCCUGUAGCUACCCGGUAGGUACGCUGCAAGCCCGCCGGUGGACCACUAAACUCUGUUUAAUUACUGUAUCUCUGAAUGCUUCAACUUAAUAAGUUAAAACUUUCAACAACGGAUCUCUUGGUUCUGGCAUCGAUGAAGAACGCAGCGAAAUGCGAUAAGUAAUGUGAAUUGCAGAAUUCAGUGAAUCAUCGAAUCUUUGAACGCACAUUGCGCCCGCUAGUAUUCUAGCGGGCAUGCCUGUCCGAGCGUCAUUUCAACCCUUAAGCCUAGCUGCUUAGUGUUGGGAAUCUGCCCUGUACCUACAGCGCAGUUCCUUAAAGUAAUCGGCGGAGUUAGGGCAUACUCUAAGCGUAGUAAUAUUUCUUCUCGCUUCUGUAGUUGUCCUGGCGGCUUGCCGUUAAACCCCUAUAUUUCUAGUGGUUGACCUCGGAUCAGGUAGGAGUACCCGCUGAACUUAAGCAUAUCAAUA
Molecule: ribosomal RNA, 520 nt
Filed under: fungal sp. TZ-2013
Lineage: Eukaryota; Fungi
Description: eukaryotic LSU rRNA
Rfam family: 5.8S ribosomal RNA (bases 149-302)
Source: RNAcentral